This 388-nucleotide ribosomal RNA is filed under the name uncultured bacterium. Its description in RNAcentral is "bacterial SSU rRNA". It matches the Rfam family "Bacterial small subunit ribosomal RNA", at positions 28 to 417 of the family's 1533-position model. The record is from RNAcentral.
GACGAACGCUGGCGGCGUGCUUAACCCAUGCAAGUCGAGCGGUAAGGCCCUUUCGGGGGUACACGAGCGGCGAACGGGUGAGUAACACGUGGGUGACCUGCCCUCAGCUCUGGGAUAAGCCUGGGAAACCGGGUCUAAUACUGGAUAUGACUCCAUGACGCAUGUUGUGGGGUGGAAAGCCUUGUGCGGCUGAGGAUGGGCCCGCGGCCUAUCAGCUUGUUGGUGGGGUGAUGGCCUACCAAGGCGACGACGGGUAGCCGGCCUGAGAGGGCGACCGGCCACACUGGGACUGAGACACGGCCCAGACUCCUACGGGAGGCAGCAGUGGGGAAUCUUGCGCAAUGGGCGAAAGCCUGACGCAGCGACGCCGCGUGAGGGAUGACGGCCU